UUUGUGGUCCCUAGGAUUGCUAUGGCCAUUAAUCAUCCAAUUAUUUAAAAGGAUUUCUAGCAAAAUGACCUCAGAGAUUGCUACUGACGGGGAUGAGAGUAUGACACCACAGAAUGUGUCACUUUGUCAUGUGGGUUAUUUUGAGCUGAAGACAGUCGGGGCCCAAAAGACUUGGGAAGAGAUUUUAACCUCCCCCUUAACUGCCCCUAAGAUUUAGAUAGAGGCCCUGGUCCAGGAAAAGAGCUAUCACCAGAGACUACUGCAGAGAGUCUGGGCCAGGUGCAGUCAGCUGGGGGGAGCUUGGCAGGGUUUGUAUGUUCAAAGCCCUCUCAGUGUCCUGUUCUGUCCCAUUGGCAUGGCAAAUGUUUGUUUACCAAACAUUUGCUCUUCCCAUCUUCCUGUGAAUUGUCCUCCUUCCCUUUGAAGCCCCAGACUCCUAUCCCCUUUGUUUCUUAGCUCAGGAUGGCAUGGAAGCUUCAACUGCCCGACUUUGCCCUUGCACCUCAUAUCUUUCUGGCUCCCAUAUGUAUGAAAUUAAAUUUGUUUUUCUCCUGUUCAUCUGUCUUGGGUGUUAACUAAUUGUUAAUUAAUAAACCAGCCAAAAGAAUCUGGAAGAGUAGAGAAAAAAAUUUUCCUUCCCUACACUACCAUUUGGAAUUCAUAGACAUUUGGUCAUCUUAUCUCUGGGUGUCCAGAAGCAUUCCUAUAGCACUUAUCAACAUGACAUCUACAGGAUGUGACUUCAGCCUGAGUGCACAUGUGGCAAUUACAGAAGAAAUGCCUCUUCACCCGUCUACAUGUCCGACUGGCUUCUGGGGACAUUCUCCAUGCUGGGGCAGGAGGACGGCAGCAUCUCUGCAUUUCAGUACCUUUAAGGAAUAAUAUUUGAGACAAAGUUCUAAGUUAUUUUUCUUCACGAAGAUAGUUCUUUGAUUACUACAGGAUUAUUAAACAUGGAACUAUCUGGCUAGAGCUUACAUCCCCAUCUUCUUCUUCCUGAAAACCAAAGAAAAAUCAGUUUGGACCAGUAGUCAAGAGAUUGGGCCUAUCUUUUCACAUCUGAAAACAAGUGGAAUAAUGUGAACAUUGUAAAUUUCUUGUGUUUUAGUUGUACACUUCCUUCAUGUUUAUAAACAUGGCAACACUAACAAGACAUCAGCAAACAGAGAUAACACGGAAGGAUAAUAUCAGGUUAUAAAUUACCUACCAGGAGGUUGGAGGCCAGCUUUCCCGGGGUUAAGUUACUAGAUACUCUCCUGCCCUCAGCGCAGCUGCGGCGUCCUUGCUCCACAGCCUGGCCCCUGGAGCGAGAAGGCUGGAACACACUCAGAGGGACGAUGACUCUGAUUCACUGCCUCCUAGAGUGGAUGCCACUCGAUCUUCCAAAAUCAGUCCUGGCUUGGCGAGGCGAGCCGGUCCGGAGAGUCUCCGACGGAAGAAAGCAGUAAUCCAAAGGAAGAAGGCUGCGAUAGUGACCUGCUGUUCCAGAGGAGACCGUUCAGAUCACAAGUGGUUGAGGAUGAUGGCACCUGGCAUUGCAGAGCAGAAACUGCUUGGUUAAUGCAGCGACUCUGGGUUCUGAGGGAGUUUGGUUGCCAGGAUUGCGACUGUUUCCUCCUGUAUGAUACGAAAAUGAUACCAGCCUCCGUCUCUGGGCCAGGAGGAGAACUAAGUAAUUCAGUCUAAAGCAGGAAGCAACGUUUCCGCAAAAGCUACACUUCCUCAUUUAGUUUCCAAAUAGCAACCGUGGAAGCACAGUAAACAAAGAUAAUGCUGAAAAUGAAAUGUGUUUAAAAUUCAUAGUUUGUCUUUUCUUUGCAUGAUUAAAUUAGAAGAAGCCUACAGGUGAAUGCUGAGUAAAUUCAUUGUUAAUGGGCAUUAUGCGUGUUAUGGGCUGAAUGCAUGUGUCCACAAAAUUCAUAUGGUAAAACCCUAACCCCGAGUGUGGCUGUAUUUGGAACAAGAAAUAAUUAAGGUGAAU
Molecule: long non-coding RNA, 1981 nt
Organism: Mirounga angustirostris (Northern elephant seal)
Lineage: Eukaryota; Metazoa; Chordata; Mammalia; Carnivora; Phocidae
Exons: 6
Source: RefSeq, a predicted model, not a curated record